RNAcentral lists this ribosomal RNA (492 nucleotides) under uncultured bacterium. RNAcentral describes it as "partial 16S ribosomal RNA". It matches the Rfam family "Bacterial small subunit ribosomal RNA", at positions 29 to 507 of the family's 1533-position model. The record is from RNAcentral.
AGUGAACGCUGGCGGUAGGCCUAACACAUGCAAGUCGAACGGCAGCACAGUAAGAGCUUGCUCUUACGGGUGGCGAGUGGCGGACGGGUGAGGAAUACAUCGGAAUCUACUUUUUCGUGGGGGAUAACGUAGGGAAACUUACGCUAAUACCGCAUACGACCUACGGGUGAAAGCAGUGGAUCUUCGGACCUUGCGCGAUUGAAUGAGCCGAUGUCGGAUUAGCUAGUUGGCGGGGUAAAGGCCCACCAAGGCGACGAUCCGUAGCUGGUCUGAGAGGAUGAUCAGCCACACUGGAACUGAGACACGGUCCAGACUCCUACGGGAGGCAGCAGUGGGGAAUAUUGGACAAUGGGCGCAAGCCUGAUCCAGCCAUACCGCGUGGGUGAAGAAGGCCUUCGGGUUGUAAAGCCCUUUUGUUGGGAAAGAAAAGCAGCAGGUUAAUACCCCGCUGCUCUGACGGUACCCAAAGAAUAAGCACCGGCUAACUUCGUG